AGUGAACGCUGGCGGCAGGCCUAACACAUGCAAGUCGAGCGGCAGCGGGUCCUUCGGGAUGCCGGCGAGCGGCGGACGGGUGAGGAAUGCAUCGGAAUCUGCCCUGUCGUGGGGGAUAACCUAGGGAAACUUAGGCUAAUACCGCAUACGACCCACGGGUGAAAGCGGGGGAUCGCAAGACCUCGCGCGAUAGGAUGAGCCGAUGUCCGAUUAGCUAGUUGGCGGGGUAAAGGCCCACCAAGGCGACGAUCGGUAGCUGGUCUGAGAGGAUGAUCAGCCACACUGGGACUGAGACACGGCCCAGACUCCUACGGGAGGCAGCAGUGGGGAAUAUUGGACAAUGGGCGCAAGCCUGAUCCUGCCAUGCCGCGUGGGUGAAGAAGGCCUUCGGGUUGUAAAGCCCUUUUGUCCGGGAAGAAAUCGUCUGGGCUAAUACCCCGGGCGGAUGACGGUACCGGAAGAAUAAGCACCGGCUAACUUCGUG
This 484-nucleotide ribosomal RNA is filed under the name uncultured bacterium. RNAcentral describes it as "partial 16S ribosomal RNA". It matches the Rfam family "Bacterial small subunit ribosomal RNA", at positions 30 to 507 of the family's 1533-position model. The record is from RNAcentral.